UACGUAGGGGGCGAGCGUUGUCCGGAUUUAUUGGGCGUAAAGAGCGUGUAGGCGGCCAGGUAGGUCCGUUGUGAAAACUCGAGGCUCAACCUCGAGACGUCGAUGGAAACCAUCUGGCUAGAGUCCGGAAGAGGAGAGUGGAAUUCCCGGUGUAGCGGUGAAAUGCGCAGAUAUCGGGAGGAACACCAAUGGCGAAGGCAGCACUCUGGGACGUGACUGACGCUGAGACGCGAAAGCGUGGGGAGCAAACAGG
This 253-nucleotide ribosomal RNA is filed under the name uncultured bacterium. RNAcentral describes it as "partial 16S ribosomal RNA". It matches the Rfam family "Bacterial small subunit ribosomal RNA", at positions 524 to 776 of the family's 1533-position model. The record is from RNAcentral.